RNAcentral lists this long non-coding RNA (216 nucleotides) under Capsicum annuum. RNAcentral describes it as "long non-coding RNA (CANN_LNC005484)". The record is from RNAcentral. Lineage: Eukaryota; Viridiplantae; Streptophyta; Magnoliopsida; Solanales; Solanaceae.
CCAAAGUACAAGAAAUACUAUAAGUGUGUGCAAAUAUUAUAAUGUGUAGUAGUGAAAGAGAGAGUUGAAAUAAAAAAUUAUUAUAAGUCUACAAAUAUAUUCACAAUACAAAAUAGAGUAAAAUAUUAGUGAAAGAGAGAGUUGAGAUAAAGAAAAAUAUUCUAAGUCCCUAAAUAUAUUCACUAUACAACAAGAGUAAUUAUAUAUUGAAGGAAG